This 597-nucleotide ribosomal RNA is filed under the name Cedecea davisae. Its description in RNAcentral is "bacterial SSU rRNA". It matches the Rfam family "Bacterial small subunit ribosomal RNA", at positions 889 to 1486 of the family's 1533-position model. The record is from RNAcentral. Lineage: Bacteria; Pseudomonadati; Pseudomonadota; Gammaproteobacteria; Enterobacterales; Enterobacteriaceae.
CAAGGUUAAAACUCAAAUGAAUUGACGGGGGCCCGCACAAGCGGUGGAGCAUGUGGUUUAAUUCGAUGCAACGCGAAGAACCUUACCUACUCUUGACAUCCAGAGAACUUUCCAGAGAUGGAUUGGUGCCUUCGGGAACUCUGAGACAGGUGCUGCAUGGCUGUCGUCAGCUCGUGUUGUGAAAUGUUGGGUUAAGUCCCGCAACGAGCGCAACCCUUAUCCUUUGUUGCCAGCGGUUAGGCCGGGAACUCAAAGGAGACUGCCAGUGAUAAACUGGAGGAAGGUGGGGAUGACGUCAAGUCAUCAUGGCCCUUACGAGUAGGGCUACACACGUGCUACAAUGGCGCAUACAAAGAGAAGCGACCUCGCGAGAGCAAGCGGACCUCAUAAAGUGCGUCGUAGUCCGGAUUGGAGUCUGCAACUCGACUCCAUGAAGUCGGAAUCGCUAGUAAUCGUAGAUCAGAAUGCUACGGUGAAUACGUUCCCGGGCCUUGUACACACCGCCCGUCACACCAUGGGAGUGGGUUGCAAAAGAAGUAGGUAGCUUAACCUUCGGGAGGGCGCUUACCACUUUGUGAUUCAUGACUGGGGGGAAGU